CAUGCAAGUCGAGCGGAAAGGCCCCUUCGGGGGUACUCGAGCGGCGAACGGGUGAGUAACACGUGAGCAACCUGCCCCUGACUCUGGGAUAAGCCCGGGAAACUGGGUCUAAUACCGGAUAUGACCACGGGUCGCAUGGCCUUGUGGUGGAAAGUUUUUCGGUUGGGGAUGGGCUCGCGGCCUAUCAGCUUGUUGGUGGGGUGAUGGCCUACCAAGGCGACGACGGGUAACCGGCCUGAGAGGGCGACCGGUCACACUGGGACUGAGACACGGCCCAGACUCCUACGGGAGGCAGCAGUGGGGAAUAUUGCGCAAUGGGCGGAAGCCUGACGCAGCGACGCCGCGUGGGGGAUGACGGCCUUCGGGUUGUAAACCUCUUUCAGCAGGGACGAAGCUAACGUGACGGUACCUGCAGAAGAAGCGCCGGCUAACUACGUGCCAGCAGCCGCGGUAAUACGUAGGGCGCAAGCGUUGUCCGGAAUUAUUGGGCGUAAAGAGCUCGUAGGCGGUUUGUCGCGUCUGUCGUGAAAGCCCACGGCUUAACUGUGGGUCUGCGGUGGAUACGGGCAGACUAGAGGCAGGUAGGGGAGAAUGGAAUUCCCGGUGUAGCGGUGAAAUGCGCAGAUAUCGGGAGGAACACCGGUGGCGAAGGCGGUUCUCUGGGCCUGUACUGACGCUGAGGAGCGA
Molecule: ribosomal RNA, 687 nt
Filed under: Actinomadura sp. S19-13
Lineage: Bacteria; Bacillati; Actinomycetota; Actinomycetes; Streptosporangiales; Thermomonosporaceae
Description: bacterial SSU rRNA
Rfam family: Bacterial small subunit ribosomal RNA
Source: RNAcentral